GCGGCCACGCUCACCAAUCACUGCCCGGCCCGGCCGCGGGGGAACGCCCGGUGCACUCCGCGCCUCGCCGCGGUCCGUCGCCCCCCCCUCGCUUCCCGCUGAUGGGACCGCCCGAAGAGCGCUUCAUGGAGUGCUGGAAGGGACCACUAGUCGGGCGGGGGGGAGGCUGAACGGAGCGGAGUGCGGUGCCCUCUGUCCGGAGCACAAUGGGCGGCGGUGGGUGCUCUGCAGCGGCAUGUUGCUGUUUGCUCAGUAGCUGUCCUGACAAAAAACUGCUCCCAGUGCCAGAUGGCAGAUGCAGAAAUGUCUUUACCAUUGAAGACAGCACAACUUGGGCGAGGAACUCAGCAGAGUAUAAAUGCCAGGAAGCUGCUGAACAGCUCAAGGGUACACAUAAAAACUAAGUCCAAGUGAAACAUUUGUCUUUGAUCUGACAAACUGAAAUGCAAUGUGUCUUUCCACAGAUGUCAAAAUGUCAAUGUGUUUCAUGCUGGUUGAAAAUAGUUAAAUGAAACAUUCAGAGAUAGCAGGAUCACCUACUUUUAGUAUAGUCUUAUCCUCAAAACAUUUUGGUAUUUAGUCACUUUUGUUUCUGAAGAGGAUAAAAAUAAUGUAUCAAGUUUUCUGGCUGAUCCUCAGUUACAAUUUGACCACUUAGAUUAUAAGUAACAAACUACCAGACAGCAAUCCUCAUGGAGUCUCAAAAUACUGAUUUUGAAAACAAAAGACAUUGUGGACAGUAGAUCUGAGGAAGAUACAUAGUAUCCUUUGUAUGCAACAAAUAAAUUGAAUUUCUGAUUUAAACCUGAAA
This is a long non-coding RNA of Pseudopipra pipra, 811 nucleotides long. RefSeq lists it as uncharacterized. The transcript is spliced from 3 exons. The record is from RefSeq and is a predicted model, not a curated record. NCBI's taxonomy places the organism in Eukaryota, Metazoa, Chordata, Aves, Passeriformes, Pipridae.